UUUACAGUAUAAGUCUUUUUUUACUUAAAAUUUUAAUUUAUAUUUUUAGUAAGAAUACUAAAAUAAAAAAAAGGGACGAUAAGACCCUGAAAGCUUAAAACGAUAACUAUAAAAAUUUUUAUUUAGAAUUAUAGUGUUGUUAUUAGCUGGGGAAGUUUUUAUAAAAAAACUAUAAUUAAUUAAUACGUUGUUUUUAUGGUCCUUUAUAUAAGGAUAGUUAGAAAAAGUUACUUCAGGGAUAACAGCAUAAUAAUUUUGUAGAGUUCUUAUCGAUAAAAUUGAGUGUGACCUCGA
RNAcentral lists this ribosomal RNA (294 nucleotides) under Crangonyx hobbsi. RNAcentral describes it as "partial large subunit ribosomal RNA". The record is from RNAcentral. Lineage: Eukaryota; Metazoa; Arthropoda; Malacostraca; Amphipoda; Crangonyctidae.